This is a non-coding RNA of Picea glauca (white spruce), 72 nucleotides long. The record is from Rfam. Lineage: Eukaryota; Viridiplantae; Streptophyta; Pinopsida; Pinales; Pinaceae.
AGGCAAAGGAUGAGAUAUACUCAAAUUCCCCUUCAACACAUUAUGGAUGAUGCCAUUCGAGCUUCUGAGGCU